CCGAGAGAUCGGGCGUUCCCCUUCGGGGGGACAGGGUGACAGGUGGUGCAUGGUUGUCGUCAGCUCGUGUCGUGAGAUGUUGGGUUAAGUCCCGCAACGAGCGCAACCCUCGACCUUAGUUGCCAGCAUUCAGUUGGGCACUCUAAGGUGACUGCCGGCUAAAAGUCGGAGGAAGGUGGGGAUGACGUCAAAUCAUCAUGCCCCUUAUGACCUGGGCUACACACGUGCUACAAUGGGCGGUACAAAGGGUCGCGAACCCGCGAGGGGGAGCCAAUCCCAAAAAGCCGCUCUCAGUUCGGAUUGCAGGCUGCAACUCGCCUGCAUGAAGCCGGAAUCGCUAGUAAUCGCGGAUCAGCAUGCCGCGGUGAAUACGUUCCCGGGCCUU
RNAcentral lists this ribosomal RNA (385 nucleotides) under uncultured Anoxybacillus sp. RNAcentral describes it as "bacterial SSU rRNA". It matches the Rfam family "Bacterial small subunit ribosomal RNA", at positions 999 to 1382 of the family's 1533-position model. The record is from RNAcentral. Lineage: Bacteria; Bacillati; Bacillota; Bacilli; Caryophanales; Anoxybacillaceae.